GACGAACCGUGCGAACGUUGUUCGGAAUCACUGGGCAUAAAGGGCGCGUAGGCGGCUUUUCAAGUCAGGGGUGAAAUCCGGCAGCUCAACUGUCGAAGUGCCCUUGAUACUGAUGAGCUCGAGGGAGGUAGGGGUGUGUGGAACUUCCGGUGGAGCGGUGAAAUGCGUUGAUAUCGGAAGGAACGCCGGUGGCGAAAGCGACGCACUGGACCUCUUCUGACGCUGAGGCGCGAAAGCUAGGGGAGCAAACAGG
RNAcentral lists this ribosomal RNA (253 nucleotides) under uncultured bacterium. RNAcentral's name for it is "partial 16S ribosomal RNA". It matches the Rfam family "Bacterial small subunit ribosomal RNA", at positions 524 to 776 of the family's 1533-position model. The record is from RNAcentral.